Molecule: non-coding RNA, 4516 nt
Organism: Durio zibethinus
Lineage: Eukaryota; Viridiplantae; Streptophyta; Magnoliopsida; Malvales; Malvaceae
Source: RefSeq, a predicted model, not a curated record
GACCCAUGAUGCUUGAAACUUCAUUAUAAACCCAAGGAAAAAUAAUUAUUAAUUAUUAAUAAUAGUCAAUUGUCCGUCCUGUGAUUGCAAUGUGCAACUCGCACAGCGAAGACUAUAAAUACACAGACGACGGCAUAUAAUAGAGAAGAGAGAGAGGAGAGAGAGAGAGAAGAUUUACAUUUCCUCGGCCAUCUGCUUCCUCCAUCCCUCCGAUCCCAGAGAAUUCGUUCUCUCUAAUUUAUAUAUCGAUCUCUCUCGUUAUCAUUUUACCUAGCUUUUAAAUUAUAUACUUUGUAUAAAUAAUAAUAUUUAUAAAGAGAAAGAAAGAGGGAGAGUUUGAACGGAAAUGGGGGUGAUAUCAAGAGGAGUGAUGCCUAUGUGCGGGACUUUGUGCAUCUUUUGCCCUUCCUUGAGUACCAGAUCCAGGCAUCCCGUCAAGCGUUACAAGAAAUUUCUCGCCGAUAUUUUUCCUCGAUCUCCGGAUGAACAACCCAAUGAACGAAUGAUCAGUAAACUAUGUGAAUAUGCUUCCAAGAAUCCUCUUCGUAUUCCAAAGAUAACAAGUUCAUUGGAGCAGAAAUUUUACGGGGAUUUGCGAAGUGAGCAAUUUCACUCUGUAAAAGUUACUGUGUAUGUCUACAGGAAGUUGAUGGUUUCUUGUAAAGAGCAAAUGCCAUUGUUUGCCAGUAGCUUUCUCAGCAUUAUACAGAUCCUGCUAGAUCAAACAAGAAUGGACGAUAUGCGGGUAUUGGGAUGCCAAGCUCUUUUUGUUUUUGUGAAUAAUCAGAGGGAUGGCACUUAUAUGUUCAACUUAGAUGGAUUGAUUCCAAAACUUUGUCUUUUAGCUCAAGAAAUGGGAGAGGACAAGAGGGUACAACAUUUGCGUUCUGCUGGUCUUCAAACCCUUUCAUCAGUGGUUUGGUUCAUGGGAGAGUUCUCUCACGUCUCAGCUGAGUUUGAUAAUGUUGUUUCAGUGGUCUUGGAAAAUUACAGAGGUUUAAAAAAAUCAGAUGCUGUUAUUCAUGACAAUCAAGAUACACAGAAUGACUGUGUUAAAGACAAUUUAUCUUCCCCAGAUGCCAUGGCAACAUACUCUUGGAGGAGUAUUGUGAGUGAAAUUGGAGAAAUUCUUGUCCCUGUGAAGGAAGCUGAGAAUCCCCAAUUUUGGUCAAGAGUUUGCCUGCAUAACAUGGCCAAGUUAGCCAAGGAAGUUACAACUGUCCGACGUGUCUUAGAAUCUUUGUUUCGGUUUUUUGAUAAUGAGGACCUGUGGUCUACCCAGCAUGGUGUAGCUCUUUCUGUCUUGCAGGACAUGCAGUUAAUAAUAGAGAAAUGUGGGGAAAACACACACCUUUUGUUGUCCAUCUUAGUAAAGCAUCUCGACCACAAGAAUGUUCUGAAGAAGCCCUGUAUGCAGUUAGAUAUUGUGGAUGUUGUCACUUCCCUUGCUCAACAAACAAAGGUUCAGCCAUCUGUGGCUAUAAUUGGUGCAUUAACUGAUAUGACAAGACACCUACGGAAAAGCAUACACUGUUCACUUGAUGAUUCCAGUCUGGGAGCUGAGGUGAUUCAAUACAACCAAAAAUUUCGAGCAGCUGUAGAUGAGUGCCUUGUUCAGUUAUCACAUAAGGUUGGGGAUGCAGGUCCUGUCCUUGAUAUGAUGGCCGUUAUGUUGGAGAACAUGCCAAACAUUACUGUUAUGGCCAGAACCUUGAUUUCUGCAGUUUAUCGUACGGCUCAAAUUAUGGCAUCAAUUCCAAAUUUGUCAUACCAAAACAAGGCUUUUCCUGAGUCAUUGUUUCAUCAAUUACUUCUAGCAAUGGUCUGUGCAGACCAUGAAACAAGGGUUGGUACUCACCGCAUAUUUUCUGUUGUUCUGGUUCCAUCAUCUGUCUGCCCUUGUCCUCCUGCUGCAACUCAUUUAUCAAAGAAGGCCACUAAUCUGCAAAAGACACUCUCAAGAACUGUAUCUGUGUUUUCUUCUUCUGCUGCACUCUUUCAGAAGUUGGGUAGGGAAGAUAAAGAAAAAGUUGUAGACAAUAAGGUUGGAAACAUCAAUGGUGUUUCUAUGCAAGACAGGUUGAAUUGUGCUAAAGGGCAACCACCAAUUGUAAACACAAAUGAAACUGUUGGUAGUGACAGUGCAAAGAUCCAAAACCAGACUAUUCUGAACAGGUUGAAGUCAAGUUACAGCCGAGCUUAUAGUGUAAAGAUGAAUCCAUCAGCUGCAAUAGAAGAUGAAAAAUCAAUGAGUAAUUCAGUUGGAGUUCCAGCUUUACCUCUUCGAUUAAGCAGUCAUCAGAUAACUCUUAUGCUUUCAUCUAUUUGGGUGCAAUCCAUCUCUCCUUUAAAUAUGCCUGAAAAUUUUGAAGCAAUUGCUCAUACCUACAGCCUGGUGUUGCUAUUUGCACGAACCAAGAACUCCUAUAAUGAGGCUAUGGUUCGAAGCUUUCAAUUGGGCUUUUCCUUAAGAAGCAUAUCUCUGGGAGGUGGAGGAGGGCCACUGCAGCCAUCACACCGGAGGUCCCUCUUUAUCCUUGCUACUUCUAUGAUCAUCUUCUCAUCAAAAGCCUACAACAUCCCCCCACUUUUCUCUUGUGCUAAAGCUUCCCUUACAGAAAAAACAGUUGAUCCGUUUCUGCAGUUGGUCAAUGAUUGCAAGUUACAGAUUGCUAAAACUGAAAUAGAGCAUCCAGGAAAAGUAUACGGAUCAAAAGAAGAUGAUGAAGAUGCUUUGAAGUCACUUUCUGAAAUAAAAAUAGCAGAGAACCAAUCUAAUGAAUCAUUUGCAACCAUGAUAGUGAAGUUUCUUGGCAAUUUGUCUGAUCAAGAAUCAUCCAAAAUAAGAAACCAGUUGCUUAGUGAUUUCAUCCCUAAUGAUGGAUGUCCACGUGGAACUCAUCUGUUCAUGGAUUCACCUGCCCAAACAUAUGAAUCUGGAUCAAUAGAUGAUCAAUCUCCUGAAAAGGUUGAGCCUCCAUUAUUCACAGUAGAUGAUGAUGCUUUGCCUAGUACAUUUGAAGGUGAAAAAAGUCUUGUUACACGUUUGGCACUUGAGCCUCAAAAUCUCCUGAGUGUUGAUGAACUUCUUGAUGCACUUUCAGAGACAACACAUCAAGUUGGAAGACCCUCGGUCUCAACCACCCCUAACAUGCCUUAUAGCGAAAUGGCCGGCCACUGUGAGGCCCUUCUGGUGGGAAAGCAGCAGAAGAUGUCUGUUCUAAUGAGUGCUCAACAAAAUCGAGAAAGUUUGGUGAGCAUUUUUGCAAAGGAGGUGCAGCCUCAUUCUCAUGUUGAAUCAGGUUCCUUGAAGAGUAAAAAUCCAUUUAUUGAUCAAGACGUUGGUGCUGUUUCUAUAAAUCAAUAUGUUGUCACUACUCCAAUGCUUUGUGCAACUGAGUACAAACAUCAGCCCUGCUUUCAGCUUCCUGCAUCAAGUCCAUAUGACAAUUUUCUGAAGGCUGCUGGUUGUUGACACCUAGAGAAGGAAUUGAAACUUAGGGGGCUCGAGUUAUCAUUGCACCUUUCUGCUUUCAAUCUUUGCCCUGGGACCAGCUAAUUUUGUGUUUUUGAUGCCAACCAGGUUGAUAUUUGAUGCCUUCAUCUUUAUCUCUUUUUCUCUUAUAUUCCUUAAAUUGUUGACUCCAGCCGGAUGCAUUGCAGGGUUGACUUUAAGUGUUCCUUCAUGUGCAUGGUACUUUUAUUUCUCUUUCAUUUUGUCAAGGUUCAUUCACGCUUGCAGUUGUAGAGUUACUUCCCCCUCUUCCUUCUGGCAGACCCAGGUUUUGUAAAGAUUAUUAGUCAUCUGUAAAUGUUCAAUGCAGAAAAACUUUAAAAUAAUAAUAAUAUAAUAAUUUCUUCUGUUAAUGAGAAAAUAGCAUGUUGGGUUAUUUUAAAUUUUCAUGUACAGGGUCUGUUUGUACUAAGGUGAAGGCAAUAGCCAAUAAGUCCAAGCGGCUGUUCACUGUUAGCGUUUAGGCAGUUUUUAUACAAUCCCCCAAAUUUGAUAGAAGGGUCUAAUCAAGGGAUUUGUUGUAUUUUAUACAACUAGGAUAAAGGAAACUUUACAUCAAAAUUUAUGCCCUGCAAAGUACUAUCAAUGGAUGGAGAACUGUCAAUUUUUUGUAAAUUCCUUGCACGCCAUAUUUGAAAUCCACCUGUCAAGAGGGAAAGCAGUGAAAGUUUUUCCCCUGGAAUGGUCUAUAGCCCAGCUAAGCUCUCCUGCCAUCUUCGAAUUCUGUUGUCAAAGCCUCACUUUGCCAAAGCCAAUCUCCGAACGCUAUUUGAAUAAUCACAAGAGAAGAAAGCAUUCAAUAUUCCAAAUUUUAGAUACACACACACACACAAUCAUAUGUUGUCAUACAACACUGACAAACUUCAGGCGCUACGAAGAAGCCAUUGGACCCUGCUCCAUUGUAUUAUCAGAGGAUGAAAAUAAUGUGAAAGCUAUGUUCAGACGUGGAAAGACCAGAGCAGAACUCGGGCAAACAGAUGCUGCACGUGAUGACUAUCUAAA